This 275-nucleotide ribosomal RNA is filed under the name uncultured prokaryote. RNAcentral's name for it is "partial 16S ribosomal RNA". It matches the Rfam family "Bacterial small subunit ribosomal RNA", at positions 524 to 800 of the family's 1533-position model. The record is from RNAcentral.
UACGUAGGGGCUAGCGUUAUCCGGAAUUACUGGGCGUAAAGGGUGCGUAGGUGGUUUCUUAAGUCAGAGGUGAAAGGCUACGGCUCAACCGUAGUAAGCCUUUGAAACUGGGAAACUUGAGUGCAGGAGAGGAGAGUGGAAUUCCUAGUGUAGCGGUGAAAUGCGUAGAUAUUAGGAGGAACACCAGUUGCGAAGGCGGCUCUCUGGACUGUAACUGACACUGAGGCACGAAAGCAUGGGGAGCAAACAGGAUUAGAUACCCUGGUAGUCCCUGA